This 123-nucleotide ribosomal RNA is filed under the name Pteropus alecto (black flying fox). Lineage: Eukaryota; Metazoa; Chordata; Mammalia; Chiroptera; Pteropodidae. The record is from RNAcentral.
AUUUAUGGCUAUGCCACCCUGAACAAGCCCGAUCCCAUCUGAUCUCAGAAUCUAAGCAGAGUUGGGCCUGGUUAGUACUUGGAUGGGAGACCACUUAGGAAGACCAGGUGCUUGCUGUAGGCA